This 950-nucleotide ribosomal RNA is filed under the name uncultured archaeon. RNAcentral's name for it is "bacterial SSU rRNA". It matches the Rfam family "Archaeal small subunit ribosomal RNA", at positions 43 to 999 of the family's 1478-position model. The record is from RNAcentral.
UCUAAGCCAUGCGAGUCAUUGUAGCAAUACAAGGCAGACGGCUCAGUAACGCGUAGUCAAUCUACCCUAUGGACGGGAAUAACCUCGGGAAACUGAGAAUAAUGCCCGAUAGAACAUUAUGCCUGGAAUGGUUUAUGUUUCAAACGAUUUAUCGCCAUAGGAUGGGACUGCGGCCUAUCAGUUUGUUGGUGAGGUAAUGGCCCACCAAGACUAUUACAGGUACGGGCUCUGAGAGGAGUAACCCGGAGAUGGGUACUGAGACACGGACCCAGGCCCUAUGGGGCGCAGCAGGCGAGAAAACUUUGCAAUGUGCGAAAGCACGACAAGGUUAAUCCGAGUGGUUUCUGCUAAAGAAACCUUUUGUCAGUCCUAGAAACACUAACGAAUAAGGGGUGGGCAAGUUCUGGUGUCAGCCGCCGCGGUAAAACCAGCACCUCAAGUGGUCAGGAUGAUUAUUGGGCCUAAAGCAUCCGUAGCUCGUUUUGUAAGUUUUCGGUUAAAUCCAUGCGCUUAACGUAUGGGCUGCCGGGAAUACUGCAUAACUAGGAAGUGGGAGAGGUAGACGGUACUCGGUAGGAAGGGGUAAAAUCCUUUGAUCUAUUGAUGACCACCUGUGGCGAAGGCGGUCUACCAGAACACGUUCGACGGUGAGGGAUGAAAGCUGGGGGAGCAAACCGGAUUAGAUACCCGGGUGGUCCCAGCUGUAAACUAUGCAAACUCAGUGAUGCAUUGGCUUGUGGCCAAUGCAGUGCUGCAGGGAAGCCGUUAAGUUUGCCGCCUGGGAAGUACGUACGCAAGUAUGAAACUUAAAGGAAUUGGCGGGGGAGCACCACAAGGGGUGAAGCCUGCGGUUCAAUUGGAGUCAACGCCAGAAAUCUUACCCGGAGAGACAGCAGAAUGAAGGUCAAGCUGAAGACUUUACCAGACAAGCUGAGAGGAGGUGCAUGGCC